This 20-nucleotide microRNA is filed under the name Schmidtea mediterranea. RNAcentral's name for it is "sme-miR-2203-3p". The record is from miRBase by way of RNAcentral. Lineage: Eukaryota; Metazoa; Platyhelminthes; Tricladida; Dugesiidae.
AUCAAGAUCGUUAGUAAGUU